RNAcentral lists this ribosomal RNA (492 nucleotides) under uncultured bacterium. RNAcentral describes it as "partial 16S ribosomal RNA". It matches the Rfam family "Bacterial small subunit ribosomal RNA", at positions 29 to 507 of the family's 1533-position model. The record is from RNAcentral.
AGUGAACGCUGGCGGUAGGCCUAACACAUGCAAGUCGAGCGGCAGCACAGUAAGAGCUUGCUCUUACGGGUGGCGAGUGGCGGACGGGUGAGGAAUACAUCGGAAUCUACUUUUUCGUGGGGGAUAACGUAGGGAAACUUACGCUAAUACCGCAUACGACCUACGGGUGAAAGCAGGGGAUCUUCGGACCUUGCGCGAUUGAAUGAGCCGAUGUCGGAUUAGCUAGUUGGCGGGGUAAAGGCCCACCAAGGCGACGAUCCGUAGCUGGUCUGAGAGGAUGAUCAGCCACACUGGAACUGAGAAACGGUCCAGACUCCUACGGGAGGCAGCAGUGGGGAAUAUUGGACAAUGGGCGCAAGCCUGAUCCAGCCAUACCGCGUGGGUGAAGAAGGCCUUCGGGUUGUAAAGCCCUUUUGUUGGGAAAGAAAAGCAGCAGGUUAAUACCCCGCUGUUCUGACGGUACCCAAAGAAUAAGCACCGGCUAACUUCGUG